CAAACAGUCACUGGAGCCAGAGGCCAGGAGCCAGAAAGAAACACAUGAAGACCGAAAAAGGGACUUGGAGAGAGUCUGGGAGUGACAGCCACAGGGAGACACAGAAUGAAACAGAGCGACCAGCAGAGGCAGAGACUCUAGGAGACAGACACCAGAGACACACACAGACAGAGGCAGGAACAGAUCAGAGUCAGAGACAGCCCCGGAGAGACACCGGUUCCCAGUCACAGGGAGACAGAGCGACAGACUCCGAGAGAACAGAAGGGAUGCUGCAGGCUGCAGACAGCUGGACUGUAAGAGAGGAUGCAGCUUCCUUCCUGCUUGCUGGAUCUCCUGUGCUGUAGCCUUCAGUUGCCAUGUAAGCAGUUCCAGCCAUCGCCUGAACCAGAGGACCAAGGGAAGCCCUCCUGAAUUCCUGACUCACAACACCCG
Long non-coding RNA from Condylura cristata (star-nosed mole), 432 nucleotides. RefSeq lists it as uncharacterized. The transcript is spliced from 3 exons. Lineage: Eukaryota; Metazoa; Chordata; Mammalia; Eulipotyphla; Talpidae. The record is from RefSeq and is a predicted model, not a curated record.